Molecule: non-coding RNA, 1356 nt
Organism: Peromyscus leucopus (white-footed mouse)
Lineage: Eukaryota; Metazoa; Chordata; Mammalia; Rodentia; Cricetidae
Source: the annotation of a RefSeq genome assembly
AUGGUCCUCCGAGUUGCUCAGGAGCUGAUAAGGAGAGGAAAUGGGUCAAUACCUGGGCCACCCUCUGAUCUGUGCGACUUUCCAGGACCAACAGACGGCAGAUCGCAGGAGGAUGGGAAAGAGUCGACAGACAAGCCCCGGCAGGGGGGCCUAUCUGUUGCAAAAGAAAGGUGUCUGUCUGCAGCCUGGUGUCAACCAGACAGUCUCCAGGGAUGCCAUGGACAGAAGCACAGACCACUAAAGCUGUGCACACCCACGGACAACCAAACCACAACAACAGCCCCAUCUGUCUAUCCACUGGCUCCUGCAUGUGGAACCACUACUGGCUCCCCGGUGACCCUGGGAUGCCUGGUCAAGGGCUAUUUCCCCGAGCCGGCAACCGUAACCUGGAACUCUGGAUCCCUGACCAGCGGUGUGCACAUCUUCCCAUCUGUCCUGCAUUCUGGUCUCUACUCCCUCAGCAGCUCAGUGACCGUGUCCUCCUGGCCCAGCCAGUCCGUCGUCUGCAACGUAGCCCACCCGGCCAGCAACACCAAGGUGGACAAGAAAAUUGAGCCCAGAGCAUCACCAGAUCCAUGUGAUGGGUGCAAGUGUCCACCUCCUGAUCUCACGGGUGGACCAUCUGUCUUCAUCUUCCCCCCAAAGCCCAAGGAUGUGCUCAUGGUCUCCCUGGCCCCCAAGAUCACGUGUGUGGUGGUGGACGUGAGCGAGGAGGAGCCAAAUGUCCAGUUCAACUGGUUCGUGGAUGAUAAAGAAGAUCACAAAGCUCAGACGCAGACCCAUGAGGAAAAGUACAACAGUACCUUGCGUGUGGUCAGUGUCCUCCCCAUCCAGCACCAGGACUGGAUGAGUGGCAAGAAGUUCAAAUGCAAGGUCAACAACAAAGCCCUCCCAGGCCCCGUCGAGAGAACCAUCUCAAAACCCAAAGUGCAAGCCCGAAUGCCACAGGUAUAUACAUUUGCUCCACCUGCGGAGCAGAUGACCAAAACAGAGGUCAGCGUGACCUGCUUGGUCACAGGCUUCUUACCUGAGGACAUCCAUGUGGAGUGGGAGAGCAGUGGACAACAAGAGCAGAACUACAAGAACACCCUGCCUGUCAAGGAGACCAACGGGUCUUACUUCAUGUACAGCAAGCUCAAUGUGCCAAAGAGCAGGUGGGAUCGAGGAGAUAGCUUCACCUGCUCCGUGUUACACGAGUCUCUGCACAACCACAUCACACAGAAGACCAUCUCCCGAUCUCCGGGUAAAUGAGCUCAGCACCCAGAAAGCUCUUAGGUCCUAAGGAACACUGACACCCAUCUCCACCCUUCCCUUGUAUAAAUAAAGCACCCAGCACUGCCCUGGGACCCUGUGAAA